RNAcentral lists this ribosomal RNA (301 nucleotides) under uncultured bacterium. Its description in RNAcentral is "partial 16S ribosomal RNA". It matches the Rfam family "Bacterial small subunit ribosomal RNA", at positions 509 to 807 of the family's 1533-position model. The record is from RNAcentral.
CAGUAGCCGCGGUAAUACGAACCGUGCGAACGUUAUUCGGAAUCACUGGGCUUAAAGCGCGUGUAGGCGGAUGGGAGCGUCGGCCUCUGAAAUCCCCCGGCUCAACCGGGGAAGUGGAGCCGAAACGACCCGUCUGGAGGGACGUAGGGGGACCUGGAACUUCCGGUGGAGCGGUGAAAUGCGUUGAGAUCGGAAGGAACGCCCGUGGCGAAAGCGAGGUCCUGGACGUCUGCUGACGCUGAGACGCGAAAGCCAGGGGAGCGAACGGGAUUAGAUACCCGCGUAGUCCCUGUCUCUUAUA